UACUGACUACGGUGUUCGUUAGCAGCCAUCAUAAUCCUUGAGCCUAUUUAUCAAUCUCGGGGACUUCCGUGUAACACUGGUGUGCAUGCCUGACGAGUCAGGAAGCCUGAUGGGUUGCCAAUAACCCCACCUGGACCUUCGGUUCAAGGUUGAUAGAUUUGCGACGACACCGUGGUUGGUAU
RNAcentral lists this non-coding RNA (182 nucleotides) under Gammaproteobacteria bacterium. Its description in RNAcentral is "6S RNA". It matches the Rfam family "6S / SsrS RNA". Rfam says of the family: E. coli 6S RNA was the first non coding RNA to be sequenced, but its function was unknown until recently. It consists of 184 nucleotides that fold into an extended hairpin structure with a large single-stranded internal bulge. The 6S RNA specifically associates with RNA polymerase holoenzyme containing the sigma70 specificity factor. The record is from RNAcentral. Lineage: Bacteria; Pseudomonadati; Pseudomonadota; Gammaproteobacteria.